RNA transcript from Rosa chinensis, 2291 nucleotides. RefSeq lists it as uncharacterized. The record is from RefSeq and is a predicted model, not a curated record. The transcript is spliced from 5 exons. Lineage: Eukaryota; Viridiplantae; Streptophyta; Magnoliopsida; Rosales; Rosaceae.
GUGACUUGUGAGGGACGUUCCUAUAUGUAUGCUACUGCUCUCACUUUGAGCCAUCUAUCAAAGAAUGAAUUUCCUUGCUUUCCUUCUUUUGCUUAAUCGUAGAGCUCACCAACUGGUAUUAGAGCAACCGAUGCGUGGCACGCAAAAUCAGCAGCCCUUCCUCUACCAACACUACCACUAUUUCCACAGACCGCUUUGCCACUUUCCAAGCCUCUGUGGAUAUGCUCCAAUCGCACUGCACUUCUACCAGGUUCAAGACGGUGGAGAACAAGAAUGAGCCCCUCGGUUUGAAAGAGCUUAGAAAAUUAUGGGAGAAGCUUGAGCCUGAUCUUGCUUCGGCGAGAGGGGAGUACAAUGAAUCCAACACAAUAUUAUUGGAUGAUUCUCCAUAUAAGGCUUUGCUCAAUCCGGUGAACACCGCCAUAUUCCCUGAUUCGUAUCAGUUCAGGAACAGAGAAGAUUCUUCAUUAGUACCUGGAGGCAAUAUCCGUUCCUACCUGGAAUGGUUAGCUAUGGCUGAGAGUGUCCAAAAAUAUGUGGAACAGAAUCCAUUUGGUCAGCAACCCAUAACGAAAUUAAAUCCUUCUUGGAACUUCUACAAGAGAGUUAUAGGGGAUGUAGUACUCCUGAGAUGACUCGGCCUUUUUCAUCGAUGUUUUGCAGUUCCAUACCAUAUGUAAAUUUUCACUUUAGCAUGUAUCUAUGCGACCCAUUAUUUUCUGUUGUCUCAGUUUUGCUUAAAUGAGAUGUACCAAGAAUACUUCUUCUAGAAGAGAUCGUCUAUUAGGGUGCUGAAUCCCAUUAGUUAAGGCAUAUCUAGAAUCUUUUGUGUUGUUUGUUUGCAAGUUUUUGAAGGCUAUCAAUGGUUGGUACUGGUUGAUCUUUAUUUACCAUGAUCAACUUGGCAUGUGCUGCUAGCCCGACCCAACUGAAUUUGGAUUCAGACCAUCCGGCAAAUCAAUUGCUUGACUUGGGUUCAUCCAAUUCUGUGAUCUCUGCCAUUUCAGAACUUCUUGAUACUUUUCCAUAUUGCUCAACGAUUGCAUGCCGACCAGCUUUUCUUUUACUUUAUUUAGAUCGAUUACUUCCUUCUAGACCCUAUAAAAGUUUAUUCUGAAAAGGAACUAAUAAGAGAAGUGGAGAAAAGAGCUUCUACCCUUGUACCAGAGAAAGACUAGUCGAUUCGGAUUGCUGCAAUGCAGAGAAUAGAUCAAUAGAAGGGCUUGUCUAUGGAGGGGUACACCAGUCUCAUUUACUCCCCAGCCAUCUGCUUCUGCUAAUCUACCUGGAUAUGGAACUUCGGCUACUGUUGCAAUGGAUAGAACUUCUAGUUUAUCCUCUAGGACUUCUUUCUCUUCAGGACUUCAUCUGUCACAAGCGAAGUUACAUGGUAGAGGUACUGAGCCUAGUCUGGAAAGUGUGUUGCAUGCAAGCAAACAGAAGGUCAGUGCAAUUGAAAGCAUGCUUAGAGGUUUGGAGUUGUUUGACAGACAUAAUUCUUCAACUUUUUGGUCAUCUGGUCUGGAUCUAGUACAGGAGCUGAUCCUCCAUCAUAUUGUGAUCCACAUUCCCUGCUGCUGUCCCAGCUUCUAAUCAUCUUUCAAACUGUCUAAUGACAGAUUCAACCACCUCAAAUAACAAAGGUAGUAACCGCAAUGAUGCCCUGGUUUUGUCUGAUAUCAUUACGCAAAUUCAAGCUUCCAAAGAUUCUGCUAAAUCAUCAUAUCGCAGUAAUUUAUCAGCUGAAACACUGCCAACUGUUUCAUCCUACAGCAUAAAGAGGGCUUCUGAGAGAAUCCACGAAAUGGGUUUCAUUGAAGAGAGUACUGACAGUAGGGAAGCUAGGCGAACUAUGAAUAAUCAAGCUGACAGGCAUUAUGUCCACAUCUCGCCGCCCGGGGUGGGGAAGGCGCGCUUUAGGGUUCACUUAAUAAUAACCAUAUCCCCAAUUUUCAGAGGCCCCUCUUAAGAAAGAAUGUGACAGGAAGGAUAUCUGCAGGCAGGAGGAGAGGUUUUGAUGAUAGCCAACUCUCACAGGAGAUGGCAAAUCAUGUAGAAGGUCCAGCAUCGUUCAAUGAUGCACUGAGCGAAGGACUGAGUUCAUCUUCAGACUGGUCAGCUUUCUUUUUCUUUUUCUAUAAUGAAAGGGUUGUUGUGCCCUUUGUUAUUUCUUGCUUUUGGGAAGGAUCAUGUAGGAUGGAACUAUGAAAAGACUGGAAAUCCUGUUCAUCUGCAUGUUAAGCAAACUAAGUGUUGGUUCCUGAAGAGCCUUUAAAGAAACCAACGCUCAU